This is a long non-coding RNA of Prionailurus viverrinus (fishing cat), 943 nucleotides long. RefSeq lists it as uncharacterized. Lineage: Eukaryota; Metazoa; Chordata; Mammalia; Carnivora; Felidae. The record is from RefSeq and is a predicted model, not a curated record. The transcript has 4 exons.
GAGGGUUGCUGGCUGUUGCCAGGGCAACUGGAAGCGAUUGGCGGUUAUCCGCGGUUUGAAGCUGUUAGGCAGUAGAGUCCGGGAUGCUCAGAGGUGAGUAAAAAGAAAAAAGGCACCCGUCCUCCCCACUACCUAGCAGUGACUUCAAUUUGUCAGUGAAUUGAAGAGACAGAGAUGAAGCGGACGCAGCACGUGAAGACAAUUCUUUCAAGAAGUUUGGCUGUAAAGGAAAAGAUAAAGCACAAAGAAACAAGGAAAAGCUAAACCUCUGGGUGUGAAACUAAACAUCACGAAGAGAUGUAUGCAAGGAGAAGACAGCAGAUACCAGAGGCUCAACGAUGUCGUGUGAAUAGAGGGCACAUGCCUUUAACCCUCACUUUGUUCUUACCAUCGUCAGAAUCCCAGGCAGGAAAGAGCACAUGGGCCAAGAUUGUGUAACCAGCCCUAUGGCACAGCUUCCCUUUAAAGGAAUCAAGCAACUCACCAAUGUGUUCCUCUUCCACCUCCUCAAAGCCCACUUGCCUGGCUGGCUGUCAAGGUUGGGCCUCCAAGCCAUCAACCCAUGGAGGGUGGAAAAAACCACCCUACUAACUCUAACACUUCAUCCAACCACAUUUCCCCACUUAUACUACAUGUCUACUCUUUCCUUUGCUCAUUCUCUUACCCUUCACCCCUCCUUCCCGUGGCCACUUCACUGAUCAUCCACGAGUACUUCAACAAGUCCUUCAUAGUCCUCUCCUUCCCCAGCCUGACAGAGGCUGCAUGGCAUAUUAGAAACAGCAUGGGCUUUGGACUAUAAAAGGGUAGGUUUGACUCUUGGCUCUGUAUUAAUGAGCUUUAUGACCUUGAACACAUUAUCAUGAGACUUCUAGGCCUUAGAUUCCUUGUUUUCUAUCCAUCUUCUAAUCUGUGCUUCCUCACUUUUAAAAAUAAAUGAUUUUAG